GGCCCAGAGGCGCAAUGAAAGUGAAGGACGCCCUUGUCGGUGUCUGCGUUGGGAUCCCGGGGCCUCGCGUCCCGGGCGCACCAACGGCCCGUCCCGUCCGCCACGUCGGUGGGACGGAGCGAGAGCGUACACGUUGGGACCCGAAAGAUGGUGAACUAUGCCUGGGCAGGACGAGGCCAGAGGAAACUCUGGUGGAGGUCCGCAGCGAUUCUGACGUGCAAAUCGAUCGUCAGACCUUGGUAUAGGGGCGAAAGACUAAUCGAACCGUCUAGUAGCUG
This 278-nucleotide ribosomal RNA is filed under the name Centruroides infamatus. Its description in RNAcentral is "partial 28S ribosomal RNA". It matches the Rfam family "Eukaryotic large subunit ribosomal RNA", at positions 705 to 953 of the family's 3401-position model. The record is from RNAcentral. Lineage: Eukaryota; Metazoa; Arthropoda; Arachnida; Scorpiones; Buthidae.